UCGAAGCAGACAGCGCUAAUUGCGUGAAACAUGGAUGGUGUAAACACACAAACCCGUGUGAGCGACAACUCGGCGAAUACAUUACAGACCUGUAAAUUACUCAGGUUGUUUUUCUAUGGUGCUACAUUGUACCGGGGUGUGCAGUAAAAACAAGUUAAGGACAAGCAGUAAGUUCCGUCAUUCGCCGGUCAGAGUUUCAGAGCGGUGCAAGCCUGAUGCCUGAUGCCUGAAGGCUAAGCUAAGAUAGUAAGGAGUUUUGGAGAAGACACUUUAGACAUGGACAAGCUGGAAACUCAGAGGGUUCACAGUCCCCAUUUCCAACACGAAGACGUCACUGGAGAGGAGCGUGGCUGAAUCAAGUCUUUGAGAAAAUCUUCACACCACACACCAUCCAGUGUCUGCUUCUCUUCCAGAUUCCUCCAGCUGUGCCACAUCAGAUUCUGUCACCACUGUACAUGUUUCCUAAUUUAUUUUUGUUUGCAUAUUGUGUUAGAGAUUCUUUUAGAUUCGUCUUCUUGUUUAUUUUAUAUUAAAAAAUUUUCCUUUGUUAA
Molecule: long non-coding RNA, 551 nt
Organism: Solea senegalensis (Senegalese sole)
Lineage: Eukaryota; Metazoa; Chordata; Actinopteri; Pleuronectiformes; Soleidae
Exons: 2
Source: RefSeq, a predicted model, not a curated record